UAAAAAGCAGCUCAUCCCUUACAGCACUGGAGCAGAUAGGUGGUGGAGAUAUUGUUGGUGGUCAACAUCAGUCUGUGACUUGAGUUUAUAAAAAGGAAAGUAGAAGUGUUGCAGACCCUUGUUGGUUAGAGUGUAAAGCAGAAGUCCAGCUAGAGUGGGGGCGGCAAAUGCCCAGCAAGAGAGGGCUGUAGCAGAACUGACUGAACAAGCAAUUCUGGAUGUCCCAGUGGCUGUGCUCCUUGGAUGGCAUGGAAAGGGUUGAGUCCGUCGCUCCUUUCCCUUAUUGCAAAUGCAGGCUGUUGGUCCGCCUGUCUGUGAAGGAGAAGGCAGGCACUACUUGUUUGCAUCAGUGGUGUCUUUGCCAACUCUUGUGCAGAAGGAUUUUGAGAGUUUUAAAUUUCAAACAGAGAAAGGGGGAAAAAGAAUCCUAAAUGUGCUAUUUGUAGCUAAAGCCAGUUCGUACUAGAAUAAAAGGCUUUCCCUUCUUUGAAAAUGGUAAAUGGGCAGUGGAUCUAUAAAAUUUGUCUUCUCUAGGGCCCAUCACUGGACCUCUCCCUCUAAGGCCAGGCUGUGUAAGGUGCAUUAUCUUAAAAGAAAGUGGUGACAGGAUGUCUUCUUGUAUAUCAUCUUCGUCUUAUAUAUGUGACAAGCCAAAUCACAAUCUCUGUUACAGUAAGAGGGAGCGAAAAGUCACGUGUCUAUGUAUUUUCGGAUCGAGAAUGUGAUGCGGUUACCUAACAACCAUUGGAACUAAUUAUCUAUUGUGGCUGAUUUGAUAAUCCUCCUCCUCUUCUUUUUCUUGGGAUGGGCAUGGAGGCAAGGUAUGUAGAGUCUAUCUUUGUUGCGUCUUCUGCUAAAGUGGGACUGGAGUUUUUUGUUACGUCUCACUCAACAGUAUGCCUCUCUGCAUUCUUCAUAGUUUGGGAAUGGAGGAAGAGGGUGGAGUGUUUGCACUUGUAGUCUCUUCUCCUGAAAGGGGUAAAGGAGACAUGGUGGUUUGGGUUGGUGAGGAACCCCUCACAGGUUAUUGAAGUGGGAUGCGUAUCUGCUUGUGGUGAAUUAGUUUUGUGUGAAGUGGAGGUGUCCACAAAGUUUGACAAAGGGGAAUUAUUUGAUUGGGGGCGAGUAAAAUCAUAAGUUGCAUAAAUCAAUUGGGGUGGAGUUCUAAGUGUUUAAAAGACUUCUGAUCCAUUUAGAGUCACUGAGGCUAGGUGGAAGAAGAGAAUCUUUGCCAGUUAUCAUCCCAGAUCACUUUUUAGUGAAGGAAUAAUGAAAUGAGGGAUGAGAUCACUUUUUAGGGAAGAAAUAAUGAAAUUAGGGCCAUUACAGCUUAGGCGUAGAUAGGAGGAAGUAUCUAGAACACUUGUUAUUCGGAAAUUUAUUAGAGACAGCUGCUAAUAGAGGAUUAGAGCCACCAAUUCGCCUUGGUCCUUGAUGUUUUUGAGAGGCCUUUCAGGAGCACUU
Molecule: long non-coding RNA, 1464 nt
Filed under: Carica papaya (papaya)
Lineage: Eukaryota; Viridiplantae; Streptophyta; Magnoliopsida; Brassicales; Caricaceae
Description: long non-coding RNA (CPAP_LNC014564)
Source: RNAcentral